RNAcentral lists this ribosomal RNA (253 nucleotides) under uncultured bacterium. Its description in RNAcentral is "partial 16S ribosomal RNA". It matches the Rfam family "Bacterial small subunit ribosomal RNA", at positions 524 to 776 of the family's 1533-position model. The record is from RNAcentral.
UACGGAGGGAGCUAGCGUUGUCCGGAUAUACUGGGCGUAAAGCGCACGUAGGCGGCGCCGUAAGUCAGGGGUGAAAUCCCGGAGCUCAACUCCGGAACUGCCCUUGAAACUGCAGUGCUAGAAUCUUGGAGAGGCGAGUGGAAUUCCGAGUGUAGAGGUGAAAUUCGUAGAUAUUCGGAAGAACACCAGUGGCGAAGGCGACUCGCUGGACAAGUAUUGACGCUGAGGUGCGAAAGCGUGGGGAGCAAACAGG